AUUGAACGCUGGCGGCAUGCCUUACACAUGCAAGUCGAACGGCAGCACGGGGGCAACCCUGGUGGCGAGUGGCGAACGGGUGAGUAAUACAUCGGAACGUGUCCGGUCGUGGGGGAUAACCAGUCGAAAGAUUGGCUAAUACCGCAUGAGCUCGAAAGAGGAAAGCGGGGGACCCGCAAGGGCCUCGCGCGACUCGAGCGGCCGAUGUCGGAUUAGCUUGUUGGCGGGGAAAAGCCCACCAAGGCGACGAUCCGUAGCUGGUUUGAGAGAACGACCAGCCACACUGGGACUGAGACACGGCCCAGACUCCUACGGGAGGCAGCAGUGGGGAAUAUUGGACAAGUGGGGGAAACCCUGAUCCAGCGACGCCGCGUGUGUGAAGAAGGCCUGCGGGUU
Molecule: ribosomal RNA, 396 nt
Filed under: uncultured bacterium
Lineage: Bacteria
Description: bacterial SSU rRNA
Rfam family: Bacterial small subunit ribosomal RNA
Source: RNAcentral